Molecule: long non-coding RNA, 230 nt
Organism: Neodiprion virginianus
Lineage: Eukaryota; Metazoa; Arthropoda; Insecta; Hymenoptera; Diprionidae
Exons: 2
Source: RefSeq, a predicted model, not a curated record
AUACGCGAACCUUUUAUGCAGGCUGGCCAACUCAAGUUUCAGCGGUGAAACGUAACACCGCGGCUUAUGGAGGUUGUGUAGUUGAAAUGGUCAAAAGGUUGAUGUUAACGAUUCGGGAAAGUGUCACAAACUUCAAUUUUCAACUGGCUGGAAUUACGUUAUUUCAAUUCGCCAUUCAACGCGGGAAUAUUUUACACCGCAUGAUUCGUUUCUGCAAGAUGGCUCUCCUG